GAAGCACCGGCUAACUCCGUGCCAGCAGCCGCGGUAAUACGGAGGGUGCAAGCGUUAAUCGGAAUUACUGGGCGUAAAGCGCACGCAGGCGGUUGAUUAAGUUAGAUGUGAAAUCCCCGGGCUUAACCUGGGAAUGGCAUCUAAGACUGGUCAGCUAGAGUCUUGUAGAGGGGGGUAGAAUUCCAUGUGUAGCGGUGAAAUGCGUAGAGAUGUGGAGGAAUACCGGUGGCGAAGGCGGCCCCCUGGACAAAGACUGACGCUCAGGUGCGAAAGCGUGGGGAGCAAACAGGAUUAGAUACCC
RNAcentral lists this ribosomal RNA (301 nucleotides) under Providencia rettgeri. Its description in RNAcentral is "bacterial SSU rRNA". It matches the Rfam family "Bacterial small subunit ribosomal RNA", at positions 487 to 787 of the family's 1533-position model. The record is from RNAcentral. Lineage: Bacteria; Pseudomonadati; Pseudomonadota; Gammaproteobacteria; Enterobacterales; Morganellaceae.